Brassica rapa (field mustard) is the source of this 298-nucleotide long non-coding RNA. RefSeq lists it as uncharacterized. The record is from RefSeq and is a predicted model, not a curated record. Lineage: Eukaryota; Viridiplantae; Streptophyta; Magnoliopsida; Brassicales; Brassicaceae.
UUGGAAGUGACGACUGGUAAAAACAAUGAUAUUAACAGAUAUGUAUUUUUUUUAUUUUGAAGUUUGCAGAAUCCAAUAAACGUUCAAGCUUGGUAUUGCUGGAACAUCAUUCUCAAUAUACAAAGAGAUGAAAAUGCGAGGAGACGAACCCUAUUAUAUUCCGACGCAAGUGGUUUCCUUGUAAGCAACAGUGCAACAUCUUGUAAUUGUAUCAGUGAUUAUGUAUAUAAACUUUUAUACGAUGGCAACAUAUUAUCUUUUCAAAAUUGAUCAUAUUGACGUACAAAUAUUUGACUUU